UUUUAUGAGAGUUUGAUCCUGGCUCAGGACGAACGCUGGCGGCGUGCCUAAUACAUGCAAGUCGAACGCUUCUUUUUCCACCGGAGCUUGCUCCACCGGAAAAAGAGGAGUGGCGAACGGGUGAGUAACACGUGGGUAACCUGCCCAUCAGAAGGGGAUAACACUUGGAAACAGGUGCUAAUACCGUAUAACAAUCGAAACCGCAUGGUUUUGAUUUGAAAGGCGCUUUCGGGUGUCGCUGAUGGAUGGACCCGCGGUGCAUUAGCUAGUUGGUGAGGUAACGGCUCACCAAGGCCACGAUGCAUAGCCGACCUGAGAGGGUGAUCGGCCACAUUGGGACUGAGACACGGCCCAAACUCCUACGGGAGGCAGCAGUAGGGAAUCUUCGGCAAUGGACGAAAGUCUGACCGAGCAACGCCGCGUGAGUGAAGAAGGUUUUCGGAACGUACAACUCCGUUGUUAGAGAAGAACAAGCAUGAGAGUAACUGUUCAUCCCUGGACGGUAUCU
RNAcentral lists this ribosomal RNA (508 nucleotides) under Enterococcus faecium. RNAcentral's name for it is "bacterial SSU rRNA". It matches the Rfam family "Bacterial small subunit ribosomal RNA", at positions 1 to 480 of the family's 1533-position model. Lineage: Bacteria; Bacillati; Bacillota; Bacilli; Lactobacillales; Enterococcaceae. The record is from RNAcentral.